CGGAUUGGAGUCUGCAACUCGACUCCAUGAAGCUGGAUUCGCUAGUAAUCGCGCAUCAGCCAUGGCGCGGUGAAUACGUUCCCGGGCCUUGUACACACCGCCCGUCAAGCCAUGGAAGCCGGGGGUGCCUGAAGUGCGUGACCGCAAGGAGCGCCCUAAGGUAAAACCGGUGACUGGGGCUAAGUCGUAACAAGGUAAC
RNAcentral lists this ribosomal RNA (199 nucleotides) under uncultured bacterium. RNAcentral's name for it is "partial 16S ribosomal RNA". It matches the Rfam family "Bacterial small subunit ribosomal RNA", at positions 1294 to 1500 of the family's 1533-position model. The record is from RNAcentral.